AGCAGACAUGGAGCAGCACAAAGGCGGUGUCUUUGGGGAACUUGUGCAGCGCCCACAGCACCAUCGCCUUGGACCCGCCCACCGCCACGUACACCUGCUCGCCGCCGCCGGAGGAGGAGGGGGAGGAUAGCUCCGACGAGUCUCCUGCUUGCGAGCCGCCGGCGGCGUCCAUGGCAGCUAGCUAGUUAGCUGUGUCGUUCUCUCUUGCUAGUUGGCCAGCAGCUCAGAUUGACUCGUUAUGGUAGGCUGGAAGCUGUACACACACACCUGCUGCCGGCUUGACUUGUUGCUGCCAAGAGUUGCCCAGCAGUUUCCAUGGCAUGGCAGGGGCUAGCUGUGCUUGCCUUUCUGAUGGACGACUUGUGCAAGUUCUCUGCUUUGUGCACGAGUGACUUCACUUCACUUCCCUACUGUAAGUCUUCUUCUUUACUCCUCUCCUACGGUUUUCAUGAUCGCACACCACCUGUUUGUUGGAUUGCCCAGCCACAUGCUCUCGAUCAACUCAAGGAAGACGGCGCAACAAAGUCUAGUGCUUUUCUUAUGACACGGGUUGCCGCUCUCAUCGCCAUGAUCUGACGGUUGUCUACUCUAGUGGAAUUAUCAAGUCAUACCAGUAAAGAUCGAACAUUCAUGGUUAACUGAUGAAGUAAAACACAUCACCUUUUCAUUCAGUUUGAAUACACACGUCCUCUUGGAGAGUUACAUGGUUGGAUCGGCAACGGCGGCACAUUAAUUUGACUAGACUGUUCAGGAAAAACCUGAGAGUUUGGAGCAUUAAUUUGGAAGCUGAUCUUAAGAAAAAGAUACGUGAUCUCCUUGUGGAGUUUGACGUUCUUUCUGAGGAAAAUAAUUUUAGAUGAUGAUAGAAAAUGUAUGAAUGAUAUUUAAAAGGAAUUGGAUUAUAUUCGGAAAAAAGAGGAAACCGCCUUAUGGCAAAGAUCUAUGGAUAGGAAAAUUGUGUUGGGGGGUAGGAAUAAUUUUUAUUUCCAUGGGUUAGCUAAUCAACAUCAUAGAAUAAACCAUCUGGAUGUGCUGAUUGGUGAUGACAGCUCUGUCUACUCUACCCAUGAAAUGUUGGAAGUUGCUACUUCUUUUUACAAAAAUCUUUUUGGCUUUGAAGUUAAAGAUAAUAUUCAUUUAGGACAUGAUUUUUGGUCUGACUCUGAUCUGGUUAUAGAUGAGGAAAAUGAUAAGUUGCAACAACCUUUAUCUGAAGAAGGUUAUUAACGCUGAUAUGAGAGCAGACUCGAGAGAUAGGUCUAAGGGCAAAGCCAGCGCGGUUCCUCAAAUCUGCCUCAAAUGUCCAGACCAGAUGGUUCAAACACUUUUAGCCAUCCAAGCUAGUCACGAGGACAUUUGCUGGAUAUGGUUGGAUGGCCUUCGCCCGGCCGACAAGAACAUUUGAGGACAUAAAUUUGGUGACCGGUGUUUGAGAUGCCCUAAUGCUUAUCUCUUGCUUUUAGGGUAUAUAGGAUGCCGCAACACCUUAAUGAUUACAUUUCCACCUAGCAUGUUCCUGUAAUUCUCCCUUUGUCCAUUUGUGCUUGUGAAACACCCUAUUAUGUAAAUGUCAGAAUUUCUGGGAUAUCAUCAAGUCCGAUCUUUUGAA
Non-coding RNA from Aegilops tauschii subsp. strangulata, 1609 nucleotides. The record is from RefSeq and is a predicted model, not a curated record. Lineage: Eukaryota; Viridiplantae; Streptophyta; Magnoliopsida; Poales; Poaceae.